This 73-nucleotide transfer RNA is filed under the name Micromonospora pallida. RNAcentral's name for it is "tRNA_Ser_GCT". It matches the Rfam family "tRNA". From Rfam's summary of the family: Transfer RNA (tRNA) molecules are approximately 80 nucleotides in length. Their secondary structure includes four short double-helical elements and three loops (D, anti-codon, and T loops). The record is from RNAcentral. Lineage: Bacteria; Bacillati; Actinomycetota; Actinomycetes; Micromonosporales; Micromonosporaceae.
CGGCUCGUAGCGCAGAGGUCGUCGCGCCCGACUGCUAAUCGGGAGGACGCCGGUUCGAUUCCGGCCGGGCCGC